AGAUCAGAUCCUAGCUUUAUUUGAUUUUACAUGGUUCCGCUCCAUCCACUACUAAUCAGACUUAGAACCAAGAACUCCCAUCCACCCACGGUAAGUCCUUACAACUUUGGCCAGCUCUUUCUAGCAUCAUCAAACCCAUUCUCAUGCGUUCAAAAGUCCGACCAGUCAGUCCUCAGAUCAUCCUAUCAUCGAUCUUGAACACGGUCGCUACAUUCUGCUCGUUGCUCGAUGAUUCAUGAUAACUUUCGGCGGAUCGCAUGGCGUAGUGCUGGCAACACAUCAUUCAAAUUUCUGCCCUAUCAACUUUUCGAUGGUAGGAUGGUGGCCUACCAUGGUGGUAACGGGUGAUGGAGAAUUAGGGUUCGAUUCGGAGAGGGAUCCUGAGAAACGGCUACCACAUCCAAGGAAGGCAGCGAGCGAGCACAAAUUACCGAUCCGACCGCGGGGAGGUAGUGACAAUAAAUAACAAUACGGGGCUCUUUGAGUCUUGUAAUUGGAAUGAGUAGAAUCUAAAUCCCUUAACGAGGAUCUAUUGGAGGGCAAGUCUGGUGCCACCCAGCGGUAACUCCAGCUCCAAUAGCGUAUAUUUAAGUUUUUUGCAGUUAAAAAGCUUGUAGUUGAACCUUGGGAUGGUCGCCGGUCCGCCCCGGUGAGCACCGGUCGACUUGUCUCUUCUGUCGGCGAUAUGCUCGUGGGCCUUAACUGGCGAAUGGUCGUGCCUCGGUUGUUGCUUUGAAGAAAUUAGAGUGCUCAAAAGCAAGCCUACGCUCUGUAUACAUUAGCAUGGGAUAACAUCAUAGGAUUUCGAUCCUAUUGUGUUGUACCCGGGAUCGGAGUAAUGAUUAACAAGGACAGUCGGGGGCAUUUGUAUUUCAUAGUCAGAGGUGAAAUUAUUGGAUUUAUGAAAGACAAACAACUGCGAAAGCAUUUGCCAAGGAUGUUUUCAUUAAUCAAGAAAGAAAGUUGGGGGCUCGAAGACGAUCAAAUACCGUCCUAGUCUCAACCAUAAACGAUGCCGACCAGGGAUCAGCGGAUGUUGCUUUUAGGACUCCGCUGGAACCUUAUGAGAAAUCAAAGUUUUUUUGGGUUCGAGGGGAGUAUGGUCAUAAGGCUGAAACUUUAAGGAAUUGACGGAAGGGCACCACAGGAGUGGAGCCUGCGGCUUAAUUCGACUCAACACGGGAAACUUACCAGGUCCAGAUAUAGAAAGGAUUGACAGACUGAGAGCUCUUUCUUGAUUCUAUGGGUGGUGGUGCAUGGCCGUUCUUAGUUGGUGGGCGAUUUGUCUGGUUAAUUUCGUUAACAGAGCGAGACCUCAGCCUGGCUAACUAGCCACGUGGAGGCAUCCCUUCACGUCCGGCAUCUUAGAGGGACUAUGCCCGUUUAGGCCAAAGGAAGUUUGAGGCAAUAACAGGGUCUGUGAUGCCAUUAGAUGUUCUGGGCGCGCGCGCUACACAGAUGUAUUCAACGAAGUUCACACCUUGGCCGACAGGGCGGGUAAUCUUUGAAAUUUCAUCGUGAUUGGGAUAGAUCAUUGCAAUUGUUGGUCUUCAACUAGGAAUUCCUAGUAAGUCGAGUCAUCAGCUCGCGUUGACUCGAUCCCUGCCCGUUUUACAAACCACCCGUCGCUCUACCGAUUUGGUGAUUUGGUGAGGUGUUGGAUCAGCGGUGGCGUGGGUGGUUUGCCCAUGCCGUCGUGGCGAAGUCCAUAACCUUAUCAUUUAUAGGAAGGAGAAGUCGUAACAAGGUUUCCUUAGGUGAACUUGCAGAAG
This 1772-nucleotide ribosomal RNA is filed under the name Brassica rapa (field mustard). Its description in RNAcentral is "SSU rRNA". It matches the Rfam family "Eukaryotic small subunit ribosomal RNA". The record is from RNAcentral. Lineage: Eukaryota; Viridiplantae; Streptophyta; Magnoliopsida; Brassicales; Brassicaceae.